GGGCCUAUAGUUAAACGGCAUAACACAUCGUUCGCAACGAUGUAUUCCGAGUUCAAUUCUCGGUAGGUCCA
This 71-nucleotide transfer RNA is filed under the name Candidatus Roizmanbacteria bacterium. RNAcentral's name for it is "tRNA-Ala". It matches the Rfam family "tRNA". Rfam says of the family: Transfer RNA (tRNA) molecules are approximately 80 nucleotides in length. Their secondary structure includes four short double-helical elements and three loops (D, anti-codon, and T loops). Further hydrogen bonds mediate the characteristic L-shaped molecular structure. tRNAs have two regions of fundamental functional importance: the anti-codon, which is responsible for specific mRNA codon recognition, and the 3' end, to which the tRNAs corresponding amino acid is attached (by aminoacyl-tRNA synthetases). tRNAs cope with the degeneracy of the genetic code in two manners: having more than one tRNA (with a specific anti-codon) for a particular amino acid; and 'wobble' base-pairing, i.e. permitting non-standard base-pairing at the 3rd anti-codon position. Lineage: Bacteria; Candidatus Roizmaniibacteriota. The record is from RNAcentral.